GGUGAGGUACUCAAGUGGCCAACGAGAACAGACUGUAAAUCUGUCGGCGCAAGCCUUCGAAGGUUCGAAUCCUUCCCUCACCA
RNAcentral lists this transfer RNA (83 nucleotides) under Gemmatimonadota bacterium. RNAcentral's name for it is "tRNA-Tyr". It matches the Rfam family "tRNA". Rfam says of the family: Transfer RNA (tRNA) molecules are approximately 80 nucleotides in length. Their secondary structure includes four short double-helical elements and three loops (D, anti-codon, and T loops). Lineage: Bacteria; Pseudomonadati; Gemmatimonadota. The record is from RNAcentral.